Long non-coding RNA from Homo sapiens (human), 2349 nucleotides. Ensembl annotates it as MAP4K3 divergent transcript. Its record names the gene MAP4K3-DT. The record is from Ensembl. Lineage: Eukaryota; Metazoa; Chordata; Mammalia; Primates; Hominidae.
AGGCCGGGGCCGGCGGCGGAACAGCUUGGGACCCGAAACGCCUCGGCUUUUCUGCGGACCCGCGCCCGGCCGCUGCCGCCGGACGCUUGAAAAGAGGCAGAGUCUUGCUUUGUUGUCCAGGCUGGUCUUGAACUUCUGAGCUCAAGUGAUCCUCCCGCCUUGGCCUCCCAAAGUGCUGAGACUACAGAGAGAGAAUGCUAACGAGCUGUGAAAUGACCAAAGAUCUGGCAGCAGAAGGGAAAAGAAAAAAUAAUGGGAAGAAGAGGAUUUAUCUGACUCAACUGGAGAUGGCUCCCUUCCCUUAUUUAUUGUUGCAUCCUGAAGCUUCCCCCAUGCUGGGCUCAGUGUGAACAAACAGCGCGGGAGAAUGCAACCACUGCAGAGAGUGGUUGAUCAUACUGUAAAACUCAAAUGUGAAGGGAAGGCUGGAACCUACUGGAAACUGAAGAUCUAACGAAAAGAAGGAACUUUUAGGAACUAGCAGAGACUUCAAAAUGUUGAGAACUCUCUUUUUUCAUAAGAGAAGAUAAAAACUCUGAUGGUCACACUCAUAAAGACAAAAAACAAAUAAAAAACAAACAAAAACUCAGAAUCACAAGAGCAAAGAAAAUGUAGGUAAAACAAUAACAGAAGAGGUAAAGAAAUUUAUGUGAAUUGGGACACUCUGGGGCACAGAACAGAAGAGGAGAAGAAACAUGAAAGUAAUGCUCUGCACAAGGAUGUCUGACUGUCCUUGAUUCCAAGGGCAUUUAAAAUUAGCCACUGGAUGAGAACCAUGAAAUGCCAUGACUCUUACAGCUCCCAUGAAAGACAUUGGAUGGAACUUAUCCUAACUGGACCAAAUUCUAAAAAAUUUUACAUGAUAUUAUAAUGAGUUGAAAGUUGAAAAAAAAAAGCUCUUCUAGAUUACCAAGAAUAAAACACAAAUUUCUAGCUGACUGAAUUAAUUCUCAUCUCUCUAUAGAAAGAUCAUAGAAAUUUUUUUUAUCAUGCAAAGAAAUAGCUAAAAAUUUACAAAAAUAUAGACGUGCAUUAGGCAGCUCAUGAAUAAAUGCGUUUUUUCCUUUUUUCCUCCAGAAUUUUGUGAUGUUUAUGGUACUUUUCGGCUUUUAAAAUUUUGUAUUUAAUCAGGAUUUAUUACUUCAUUGUAAGUAAAUAUUAAAUUUGUACUCCAUCUUUGUUUGUAAUUUUGUAUAUUUUUCAGUAAAAAGGACUCCCCAGAUUAUGUAAGCUUUAGGCCCCACAAAAUCUAGGCCUGUUGCUGUAUCCUUUCUAGAGCAGUGUUUCUCAAACUUCAAUGUGCAUUUGAAUCUCCUGGGGCUCCUGUUAAAAUAUAGCUUCUGAGAUGAUGCAUUUCUAACAGACUCCCAGGGCUGACACUGCCCAUCUGGGGACCACACUUUGAGAAUCAAAUAUCUAGAACAAUGGUUCUUACCUGGCUGUGCAUUGGGAUCAUUUAUAGUGCUUUUGGAAAAUACAUUGUGUCCAGGUCCCACCCAGUUCUCAGUAGGCUUGGAAUGGGGUCCUACACUUUUUUUUUUUAACUCCACAGUUUGGGAAAGAAGCCUUUUCAUAUAUUGUUGGUGGGAAUACAAAUUGAUACAGCCAUUUUUGAGCUUGAUUUGGCAAUAUCUUCCUUGGAGAAAUCAAAAGCCAGUUGGCAAGCCAGUCUGGAAAAGGCAGUUUACUGAUUCCCACCCGAGGGUCACAAAGCAGGUAUAGAAGGAUGGGCUUUGGCUGAAAUAUAUGAUGGGUACAGGUAUAUUCUCUAUAAUCCAGUAUUUCCACUGCUGAAAACGUAUCCUAGUAACAUUAUACAUAUCAAGCCUACAUAUAAAGUUGGUCAAUUCCAUAUUAUUUGUAGUAGGGGAAAACUGAAAGCAGUCUACAUGCCCAUCAAUAGAUUAUUCAAAUUAUGGAACAGUUUUCCAAUGACAAAACAAUAGCUAAUCUUAGUUAAGCAAUUAUUAUGUUAUGUAAGGUAGACAUUGUUCUACCUUAUUUAUAAGUAUUAAGUUAGUUUUUAUAACUAUCAUAUUUCCAUUUUACAAAUGACAUAAUUUAUAUUAUUGACAUGGGAAGAUGUCCAAGGAUAUAAUAAGCAAAAAGCAAGUAGCAAAACAUUAUGUAUAUUAUGCAUUACCAUUAUAAUAUACUAAAAAGUAAUGCACUUGAUUCUGAUGCACACUCCCCAGUAGGUAACAACUUAUCUAGUGUAAAAAUGAAAGAACAUUCUGGGCCGGGCACGGUGGCUCAUGCCUGUAAUCCCAGCACUUUGGGAGGCCCAGGUGGGCGGAUCACAAGGUCAGGAGAUCGAGACCAUCCUGGCUAACAUGGUGAAACCCCGUC